GCCUGAGUGAUGGAAUGGUAGACGUGUCGGACUCAAAAUCCGAUGGUGGCGACACCGUGUGGGUUCAAGUCCCACCUCAGGCACCA
Molecule: transfer RNA, 86 nt
Filed under: Bacilli bacterium
Lineage: Bacteria; Bacillati; Bacillota; Bacilli
Description: tRNA-Leu
Rfam family: tRNA
About the family: Transfer RNA (tRNA) molecules are approximately 80 nucleotides in length.
Source: RNAcentral